AAAAAGAAGAAAGAAGAACACAAAGAAAAAGAAUAGAAGCAAGAACAAAAAAAGAAAAAUGAUGUAGAGGAAGAAAACAAGAAGUGAAAUAGCAAAAGAAAAAGUAAGAAGAAAAAAGAAGAAAAUGUAAAAGAAAAAGAAUGAAGAAGAGAAAAGAGAGAAGAAGAAGAAGAAAUGAAAGAAAAGAAAGAUUAGAAAAGAAGGUUUCGGGAUUUGUUUUUCUAGGCAACAAGGUAAUUACUUUACAUAUUUUUUUUCUAUAUAUGUUUGAAUGCAUAUAUUUCUCCUUGUUCUUCAUUUUUCUUCUUAUUUUUUUAUUCUUUCUUUCUUCCUCUUAUCUUUUUCUCUUUUUUGUUUGUUUUUGUAAGCUAAAAGGUAAUUUACAUUUACAUUUUUUUUUAUCAUGUAUAUCUUUGAAGGGAUAUAUUUAUUCUUCUUGUUCUUGUUCUUCCUUUUUUUUUCAUAUUUUUUCUUCUUCUUUCUUUCUUUCCUUUUUCUUCUUUGUUUUUUUUUUUUGUUAAGCUUCAAUUUAAAUUAAUUUUACAUUUUUUUCAUGUAUAGGUUUGAAGUGUUAUAUUUCUUCUUUCUUUUACCCCCUUUCCUUAGUCAACUAUUUGAGAAAUCCUUUUAAUUAUAAGAUAUUAUAUUCAACUAAAAAAAUAAGAUAAUUAAUAUAAUAUAAUAUAAUUUGUUUAAUAAUAUAUUAUACUCUUCACAUUACUUCUUAAAAUAAGUUACGAAAGUUCCAAAUAUUUCAAAAUUAAUUUUUACUAAAAGUUAAAAGCAGAUAUAGAAGUACUUUUUAUCGAAUCUAAUAUUUAUUUAUACAAUAUUUUAGGCUACAAAGUAAAUUAAUUAACAUUCAUUUUUGUGUUGUAUAGGUUUGAAGGCAUAUAGAUCUUUCCUUUUUACAUCUUUCUUUUUUUCUUUUUUUCUUCUCUUCUACUUUCUUCUUUCUUUUUCUUUUGCUCUUUCACUUCUUGUUUUCUUCCUCUACAUCAUUUUUCUAUUUUUCCUGUUGCUUCUAUUCUUCUUCUUUGUGUCCUUCUUUCUUCUUUUUAUUCUUUGUUGUUCUUUUUUCUUUAAGAAAAAAUGUUUCUUAGAGAAAAAAGAACAAACAAGCGUAAAAAGAAGAAAGGAGAACACAAAGAAAGAAGAAUAUAAGCAAGAAGAAAAAAAGAAAAAGAAAUGGAAAAAGAAAAUGUAAAAGAAAAAGAAUGAAGAAGAGAAAAAAGAGAAAAGAGAGAAGAAGAAGAAGUCAAAGAAAUGAAAAUGAGAAAAUAAGGUUUCCGGAUUUGUUUUUCUAGACAACAAGGUAAUUACUUUUAAUUUUUUUUUUCUAUAUAUGUUUGAAUGUAUAUAUUUUUCCUUGUUCUUCAUUUUUUUUCUUUCUUUAUUCCUCUUACCUUUUUUCUCUUUUUUUUUGUUUGUUUUUGUAAGCUAAAAGUGAUAUAUUUCUUCUUCUUAAUUUUUUUCAUCUAUUUCUUUUUUUCUUUCUUUCUUUCUUCUUCUUCUUCUUUGUUUUUAAUUUUUGUAAGCUACAAUGUAAAUUACUUUUACAUUUUUUUUCAUGUAUAGGUUUGAAGGGAUAUAUAUAUAUAUAUAUAUUUUUUCUUUCUUUUGCCCCCUUUCUUUAGUCAACCAUAUGAGAAUUCUUUUUAAUUAUAAGAUAUUAUAUUCAACUAAAAAAUGUAAAUAUAAAUAAAAUAAGAUAAUUAAUAUAAUAUAAUAUAAAUAGUUUUAUAAUAUAAUAUAUUUUUAAUUUUUUUGGAUAUGUUUGAAGGGUUAUAUUUCUUCUUUUUCUUUCUUUUUUCUUCUUUGAUUUUUUUAAGCUAUAAGGUAAAAUAUUUUUAAAAAAAAUUCUUUUUUUUUCUUUUUUUUCUUUUUUCUUUCUUUUUUCUUCUGUGUUUUUAGUUUUUUAAGUUACAAAGUAAAUUAUUUUUUAUUUUUUUUCAUAUAUAGGUUGAAGGAAUAUUUGUUUUUUCUUCUUCUUUCUUGUAUCCCACUUUCUUUUGUUAAUUGUUUGAGAUCUCUUCUUAAUUAUAAUAUAUUAUAUUUAAUUAAAAAAAUAUAAGAUACAGGUACUCAAUCUAAUAUUUAUUUAUACAAUAUUUAGAGUAAAAUAUAUAUAUAUAUAUAUAUAUAUAAUUUAAAUAAAUAAAUCUAACUGGUCUUUUUAGUAUAUUAUAUUCUUUUUUAUAUCAUGUUUCGUUAUUCUGUGAGUGCUUAAAAUAAUAAUAAUAAUCACUUAAAAUUAUACAUUAAUUAAGCACAAAUAUAGGUGAUAUUUGAAUCCAACAUUUAGAUGAAGAUGUGUAUGCAUGUGUCUCAUUCUUAUUUUAAAUUAUUAAAUCACAUUUAAUUUGUUAUGUAACCUGAAAAAUAUAUUUGUAAUUAUUUCUAUGAUCUUUAUUUUGUUUCAUUAAAAGAAUAUUUCUUUUGGUACAUAAUUAAAAAAGUUUUGUUUAAAGGUGUAUUGUUUUUUAGGAAACAAAUAUUAAUUCUAUUGAAUUAAAUUAUUUUCAGAUAUUUAUGUUAUUUAUAGUGUUGUGGUCGAAAAGAUUUGAUACAUGAAGACAGAAAAUCAAUAUAAAAUGUUUAGCCAAAGAACUAUGGGUAGCACCUUUUUAAAGGCAUAAGAUAUUUUUUCUUAUAAUAUUUGUCCUUAUUCUUUAUUUUUAUUUUCUCCUUUUUUCUCAAUUUGGCUAUAUACACUGAACGGAGUAAAAGUUUUUACACUAGUAGUUCAAAUCCAACCGAAAAAUCUUCCACUAACUACUUUGAUUCAGCUUUUCUGGAGAAUCUAAACUUAAAAUUAAGAAUUAAAAACAUGAAUGCACGACGUUACGAAGUUACGAAUCAUAAGAAAAGUUCAAUUUCUUAUUUUCCAUCAUGAUUCUGAUUCGAUCUAAGUCUAAUAUUUCAGUUCCAGUGGAGCAAUUCACCAGAAUGAUAAUUAUACAGAUAGAAGAAAAAGCAAAAGAGGAAAAAAAAGAAGGAAAAUCAUACCACGGAAGUAGCCACCGGAGACGGCGUCGGAAUUUCAAUCGGCGGCUAAGACUGAUGAACUGAGCC
RNAcentral lists this long non-coding RNA (3075 nucleotides) under Phaseolus vulgaris (common bean). RNAcentral's name for it is "long non-coding RNA (PVUL_LNC005366)". Lineage: Eukaryota; Viridiplantae; Streptophyta; Magnoliopsida; Fabales; Fabaceae. The record is from RNAcentral.